Molecule: RNA transcript, 839 nt
Organism: Jaculus jaculus (lesser Egyptian jerboa)
Lineage: Eukaryota; Metazoa; Chordata; Mammalia; Rodentia; Dipodidae
Gene: Faim
Gene name: Fas apoptotic inhibitory molecule
Exons: 7
Source: RefSeq, a predicted model, not a curated record
CUGAGCGCGCACCCGGAGCCCGAGCCGGCGGCGGCGGCGGAGCGCGGGGCAGACUGUUUGCUAACCAUGGCAUCUGGAGAUGACAGUCCUAUCUUUGAAGAUGAUGAAAGCCCUCUUUAUAGCCUGGAAAAAAUGACAGAUCUUGUGGCUGUUUGGGACGUUGAUUUGAGUGAUGGAGUUCACAAGAUUGAAUUUGAGCAUGGGACCACAUCAGGCAAACGAGUAGUAUAUGUAGAUGGGAAGGAAGAGAUAAGAAAAGAAUGGAUGUUUAAGUUAGUAGGCAAAGAAACCUUCUGUGUUGGAGCUGCAAAGACAAAAGCAACCAUAAAUAUAGAUGCUGUAAGUGGCUUUGCUUAUGAAUAUACUCUGGAAAUCAAUGGGAAAAGCCUCAAGAAGUAUAUGGAGAGCAGAUCAAAAACUACCAAUACAUGGAUAUUGAACUUGGAUGGUGAAGACUUUAGAGUUGUGUUGGAAAAGGACACUAUGGAUGUGUGGUGCAAUGGUAAAACAAUGGAGACAGCAACAGUUCCUGGGACAGCAAGAGCUUGGAAAUGACUUGUGCUCCAAGCUGGCACAACCUCACAUUCUACCUUGCCACUCCUGGGCUGGCUCUUACCCUACAGAGUCCUCACAUUAAAAAGGUGAGUUUGUAGAUGACGGCACGGAAACACACUUCAAUGUUGGGAACCAUGACUGUUACAUAAAGGCUGUCAGCAGUGGGAAACGAAAAGAAGGAAUUAUUCAUACUCUUAUUGUGGAUAAUAAGGUUAUCCCAGAGAUUACCAAAUGACAUCCUGUUUAUGAAUUUCAAACUGAAGAAGUAAAAGACUUUUAAAUUA